GGGCUUUAAACUAAGAAAGUCAAGUGGAAAUGUAGCAGAAGUGAGAUGCAGCACCAAAAGAGGAAGCUGCAGUCAUCGUGUCACCGUUAUUCUGUUAUUUAUGCAAGGCCACCAAGCAAACAGAGAACAAACAGUAGAAGAGGCACUCAGAUAUACAUCAGUAACGUACAGUACAACCCUGAUACCUUACAGGAUAUGCUUAGUAAUGGGUAGACAGUUCUUAUGACUCUUAUGGAAUUGCAUGAGCUCUAUGCACUUACAGUACACUCUUGAAAAUCAUUAUUUUCACUUUUCAGUGUUUGUCUGUUUUGAAAAAGCACACACCUCUGAUAGUUUCCAACACAGUGCACGGUCACAGCCUCAUGUGUUAUUCCAAUGUGUUCGGUCAGCAACUUGAUGCACAAAUGUGCUAAAAUGUAGGCCUGUUCUUUUUCAACAACAACAAAAAAAACUUCAUGCCUCACAGUAGGCAAAUGAAAACAGCUCAUCCUACAGAUAUUCAGUUGCUGUUCUCAGUUCUCUGCAUUUUGAGGGCCCCUAAAUUUCCUGGUCUGCAAUUUUCUGCUUGUGGCUGCAGACCGAAUGGACCUCUACUCUGACACUUGCCUUGCUGCUCUUUUGGUAACCCAACAAAGAUGAGCCUCUAUUUACCUUUCUUUAGUACUGCCUGCCAUCUUGAUCUUAUCUGUGAAAUGUCAGAAAAUAAAUACUUAAAAACACUGGAUGCUCUAUAUGUAGACUUUUAAAACUUGGAGGAGGUAAACUGGGUUUUGUGACCUGACGUGGCAGUUGUAUUGAAGCUUCUGUAUUGCAGAACUGCUGGUGUAUUGGUAACACUGUCUUGGCUUUCUUGGCUGAUGUUAACAGGAGCAGUAAACAGUAGUCAGAGUACAGCUAUCCAUAUCCAUGACAUCAGUGACAGUAUUACAAAAGCAGCCACAGUCAGGUCACUAAGCACAUCUACAGCCACAGCUGUGCUCACAGCCAGUGGCUACCUUAGCCUCAGGAAAGGAGCAACAAA
Long non-coding RNA from Scatophagus argus, 1021 nucleotides. RefSeq lists it as uncharacterized. The transcript is spliced from 3 exons. The record is from RefSeq and is a predicted model, not a curated record. NCBI's taxonomy places the organism in Eukaryota, Metazoa, Chordata, Actinopteri, Scatophagidae.